Molecule: long non-coding RNA, 3105 nt
Organism: Cervus elaphus (red deer)
Lineage: Eukaryota; Metazoa; Chordata; Mammalia; Artiodactyla; Cervidae
Exons: 3
Source: RefSeq, a predicted model, not a curated record
CCUUGUCUCACGUUGUCUAGGGCGACGGCCGUGCGCGCGGGGCCGCCCGGGCACUAGCCCGCCAACUGAACCUCGGUAUGUGCGUCCCGGAAACCGGGUGCAAAUAUUCGCACCCACCGCGAUCAGCGUGAAAAGGCGGCUCCAGGGCAGAAGUAGUUAACAUCUUCGGGGUCUUUGUCCCCGGCCUCUGGUCCAGACCGCUGGAAGUCAGUCUCUUCCAACCAAGUCAGGCCAGAUAGCUAAAAAGAGUGAAAAAGGAGAAUUUCAGGCUUGGCUUGCUUAAACCAAAACUCUGGAGCUAAGGCCCACCAGCAAAACUGGGCUUAUGCAUUCACUACAAUUAUCUUGCCCUUCUGGAGGUGAGUUUGGUUGCGGAUUCGGACUGUCAACGUCACAGAGCUCCAAGUCACGUAAAACGCAGAUUCUCUGGCAACGCCUGAAGUGGGGUCAGGCGGCCCCCUGAUGACUGAGGUACACUGAAGACUGGCUGCCACAAACGAGUGGCAAAUAACUGCACAGAAACGAGUUGAGAUUGUGACAGGCUCUGUAAAGGACAGGAGCCGGGAGAGUGUCCUCCAGUGGGGCCUGGACGUAGCUGAGGCCGCGCGGGAGGGGAUGUGACAGGGAAUACUUACACAAGGAAGGUGUCAAGCAUGAUCGCCAAGUUCCAGGCUUAAGCAGCUGAGAAGGGGAACCUUGAAGAGGUGGGCCCAUCUGGAUGGAAGAGCCGGAGGUUGCUCACCUGGAGACUCCAGCAGCCUCCUCACUGACCUCCCCCACCCCCGCCCCCACCCCGCCCCCAUUCUCUGCACAGCCGCUGACGGUAGACUCCUCAAUCAGGGCACUCCAGGGAUUACCCUGCACGUAAUCAAUCCCAAAUUCCUCCCUCAGUCUCAGUCCUGCAUAACCUGACCCCUGCCUGAUCCCUCCCUCACUACACUCCAGACACAGAGCUAGUCCCAGACAGAGACCGAGGUGUCUCAGCCUCACAUUUCAUGUGUUGUUCACUCCAUUCAGGAAACCGUCUCUGUAAGAAUCAAGAUGCUAGCAAGAUCCCGGAUAAUCUGUCCGCACUCACGUUAAGCUUGAGAAGGAAGCACUGUCCCUCAGGACACACGGCAGUAGAGGAUCCUGUGCUUCCUCAACAGUGGAAUGGCCUGCGAUCCUUGACCUGACGGAGAGACCAACUGGACCCGUCUUUGAGCCCAGCACCUUCCUUCAGGACUUGCCUCACUUGUCGCUGCUCAGGAGCCAAUCAAUAAACAUUUCCUGAGUGGACAGAUCCGGUGCUUCUCUGAACAUCAGCUGGAGGCAGCAGGUGUGCUCGUUCCCGGGGGAAAGGGGCCUCGGCUCGGUGCCACUCACUGCCCUCUUCCCCCAUGAGGACCCCUCCUCCUCGCCCAGGAAACCACAGCUCAGAACUCAAGUGUCUGGAGGGCGGGGAGCAGUGAGAAGCGGCCCCCCAGGAACCCGAGAGUCCCCUGUGCUCUUGCGGGUGGAGACCUCAUUCUCACGGGUGGUCCCGUUUCUGGGGGCCGAGCUCCCGGCAGCUCUGAGUGCCUCCUGAGUGGCCCCGGGCCCCCUGCUCUUUUCUCAUCUCUUGGCUUUGGGAGCACAGCUGCGGCGCUGGCGUCUGGUCCCCAGCACUCUCCCUCUCCCUGCAGUGGCACGAGGCAGCCUUCCGUCUUCUGUGGCCCUUACCCCAUGCCCAGAUGUGAGGGGGCCUGCCUGGUCUCAGAACGGACCCUACAUGGCCCUUGCCAUCCUUCCCGGGAGGCCCCUCUCUGGACAGUUUCCUGAAUGACUUGUGGGACGCGGGAUCCUCACCUCCCUUGUAACAUUCCCUAAACAUCACCACCUCCCUCGAGGACCCUUUAUUGGAUCCAUGUCACUGAUCUGCUUAUAUAUCACCAUUAUAAAGUUUACAAGCCAUGGGGACCCGUGAUCAGACAUUAAACCCCUUUCCACACCUAAGCGCUCUCUAGGCAUCAGGUGGGAGGUGGGCUGGGGUCAUCUACACCAGGAGCUGGAAGCUGUGGCCACUACUGUGGACCGACACUGUCACCAUUUCUUCUCUGGUGCCGAGGUAGCCACAUGGUCCUUUGUGAGGACCUGUGACCACCCACCACUGUCAGUGAUGUUCAAGAGGCUACCCUGUACUGCAGAGCCCCCGUUUCACCAGGGUACCCCAGAGUGGGCUCACAGCGAACCUGUGGAAUAGGAGUGGGGGCCACGGGACGAUUCUUAAGGCUGGAGGAAAAGUUCCCUUCCAACAGAAGGCGCGAGUCUGACUGGGGCUCACGUCCGCCCUGGGUGCUCAUGAAUUCAGGCCAGAUGAUGCCUCUGUUCCCCCACCUUACAGAGGGGUGGACACACAUCCAAACAGCACUUGUUACCUAGCGUUGCUAUCUCUCACGAGGCUGGGAGGGCAGAGGGACUUGCUCACAGCCAAGGGAACUCCCACCCCGAGGUCUCUUCCUGAUCCCCUGACACCUGAACCGCUUCCUGGGGGUGUUCUGUCAGUGCCCUUUGAAUCCUUCAGUUUAGUGAAGUAAUUUCAGUCACAACAUACUCACUGGAUCCAAGUCCAUCCUCUAUACAGAGGUGAGAGCUCCUUGAAGGCACCACUUGCACCACCAGCUCCUUGUCAAAGUUUCUCAGCCUCGUCUGUGUCAGCCUGGGUGCUACACUCACGUUACCCGUGCUCUUGACUCUGAGUAACAAAGUGUGGCUUCGUGACCCCAGGUGGACGCUGACCCCAGCCCCACCCGCCCCUGCAUAUACACACAGCAUCUACUUCCCAGCACAGGCCUUGGGUCAAGGACUUCCUGUCUCCCCGCUGGCUGCCACCCACACUGUUUUGCUUUUUCAGGGUAGCUCUCUUUGGCCGUGCUGCCCAGCUUGCAGUUUCUUAGUUCCCUAACCAGGGAUCAAACCUGUGCCCCCUGCGGUGGACAUGCGGAGUCCUAACCACUGACCAGACAGCAUGUGAGAUACUGUGUCAGGGCUUUCCGGCUCACACAGAAACUUCCUUGCGCCAAGUGCCGGGUUAGCAUCUGGACCACACCCAUGGCCGCAUCCUUUGGCAACAAGAUUGCACGGGAC